UACGUAGGGGGCAAGCGUUGUCCGGAUUUCUUGGGCGUAAAGAGCGUGUAGGCGGCCAGGUAGGUCUGCUGUGAAAACUCGAGGCUCAACCUCGAGACGUCGGCGGAAACCAUCUGGCUAGAGUCCGGAAGAGGAGAGUGGAAUUCCUGGUGUAGCGGUGAAAUGCGCAGAUAUCAGGAAGAACACCCGUGGCGAAGGCGGCUCUCUGGGACGGUACUGACGCUGAGACGCGAAAGCGUGGGGAGCGAACAGG
Molecule: ribosomal RNA, 253 nt
Filed under: uncultured bacterium
Lineage: Bacteria
Description: partial 16S ribosomal RNA
Rfam family: Bacterial small subunit ribosomal RNA
Source: RNAcentral